RNAcentral lists this ribosomal RNA (253 nucleotides) under uncultured bacterium. RNAcentral's name for it is "partial 16S ribosomal RNA". It matches the Rfam family "Bacterial small subunit ribosomal RNA", at positions 524 to 776 of the family's 1533-position model. The record is from RNAcentral.
UACGUAGGCAGCAAGCGUUGUUCGGAGUUACUGGGCGUAAAGGGUGUGUAGGCGGUUGUUUAAGUUUGGUGUGAAAUCUCCCGGCUCAACUGGGAGGGUGCGCCGAAUACUGAAUGACUGGAGUGCGGGAGAGGAAAGUGGAAUUCCUGGUGUAGCGGUGAAAUGCGUAGAUAUCAGGAGGAACACCGGUGGUGUAGACGGCUUUCUGGACCGUAACUGACGCUGAGACACGAAAGCGUGGGUAGCAAACAGG